This 233-nucleotide ribosomal RNA is filed under the name Sphingobacteriales bacterium. Its description in RNAcentral is "partial 23S ribosomal RNA". It matches the Rfam family "Bacterial large subunit ribosomal RNA", at positions 2681 to 2925 of the family's 2925-position model. The record is from RNAcentral. Lineage: Bacteria; Pseudomonadati; Bacteroidota; Sphingobacteriia; Sphingobacteriales.
GUACGAGAGGACCGGGUCGUACGUACCGCUGGUGUAUCAGUUGUGCCGCCAGGUGCAGCGCUGAGUAGCUAUGUACGGACAGGAUAAACGCUGAAAGCAUCUAAGCGUGAAACCUUCCUUAAGAUGAGUUUACUUUUAAGGGUCGUCAGAGACGAUGACGUUGAUAGGCUACAGAUGUAAAGCUAGUGAUAGCAAAGUCGAGUAGUACUAAUUGCCCGUACGCUUUAAUUUUU